CCUAUUUUAUUUUUUUUCCUAAACCUUUUUUUUUGUGAUAACCUUGAAGUACGCUUAAAUUCCCUUUUAUACUUACGUUUUUUUUGCUAUGAGCAUUCUGUUAUAAUCAAUAAGUUUUAAUUUGAAUUUCAAAAUGUUCUAGUUGUUCGGAUUGUGGGUGCCAUGUCUCGUCGUAGUAUGGAAGUAGGGUAGAGUGUUAGGUCGUUCAAGGGAUCAUCGGCCUCUCUUUUGGUCUUGCUGUAGGGUGGGCAAUCAGCUGUCGUAGCAACACCAGCGCAGCAGUAGAACAGCUAAAACCCACUCAGCUUUUGCAACAACAUCUUGCAGUGUCAUAACUAUUCAAUUUUAUGUGGUUUCCUAUACUUUCUGUCUGUCCGAUCGAACCUGUGUUUGGCCUAAACCAGCACGCGAAUUUUAAUGUAAUUAUGUAUGUACAAAGCGAGCAGGUAGCACAGGGGUCUUUUUCAACAGAGGGUAUUCCAGAUACAAGGUCAAACAAAAUUAUUCUAUACCAGGCUAGAAACAUCAAAGAUCUAAAGCUACAAAUUGAGGCAUAUCAAAAAUAUCGUGUUUCUUCUAAGCCGCCAAGCAAGUAUGGUGGGCCGAUCAGCAAGGUUGGAAAUGAGAUAGGAAAAGAAGUGGCAGCUGGAUCUAGUAGGAAGUGUUUCAGGUGUGGAGACUCUUCACAUAUAAAGAGAGAUUGUCCGGUGAGGGAGAAAUGUUUUAAAUGUGAUCAGCCAGGACAUCGAGCAGAAAAAGUUAAGACAGAGAGAGAAACCAAUGCAGUUAAAGACAGAAAAGUCGUUUCAAAACCAUCACCACCCUUUUAUUCGAGACUGGAACAGAAAUAAGUGAUUUGCAUGAAUACUGUAUUUUGUUUGAUGCGUAGGAGUGUUUUUUGGAAACUAGGCGUAGGCGUGGACAGUCUGAUAGGUCGCCAGAACGUUUUAACAGGGAUCGGUGAAAGUCAGGUCUUGACUUUUGGUAGUUUCGAUGCAAAGGUCACUAUCGAUGGUAUUGACAUGUCGAUCGAAUUUCCUGGUAUUCCUGAUGGGGAUAUGAAGUACGAUGCAAUUUUGGGCACAACGUUCCUAGACAACGUCGAUAUGAUGGUAACCAAGAACGGCACUACAUUUUCGCCAAGGGUUCGUCGUGUAGAAAAAGGUGUUGAGUUAGGAACAGAGGAUGGUCAGUUAGGGCAGAGUUCCUGUGUGCAGCUGAUGAGCGAGUUUGAGAGCCUGUGCAUGUUAAGCAUGUAAGACUAUGAGGAGAAACCUUUCUUAGAUUUAGUUCAUUUGAGUCAGAAGGUCGCAUCUGAAGUGAAGCUUAUGAUCGAUAACUAUGAGCAAAAGAGAGAUUUCUCCAGUAGAGAUGAAGUUCUUGUUGACAGAUGAGUUACCGGUAUAUCAACAUCCGAGACGGACCCUAGAUUUGACAAAUGGUUUCUUUCACGUUCCUGUUUCGCCAGAAUCCCAAAAGUAUAAAUCUUUAGUAAGUCAGAAUGGACAGUAUGAGUUUCUGUUUGUACCUUUCGGUAUCACGAACUCUCCAGCAGUAUUUACGAGGUUUAUCCUGGCGGUCAUGCGUGAUUUAAUCAAGAAUGAGGAUGCGGUUGUAUACAUGGAUGACGUGAUCAUUACUAGUCAGAAUAUCGAUGAGGGCGUGCUGAAAUUGAAAAAGGUUUUAGAAGUAGCGGAGAGGAAUGGCUUACGUAUUAAUUGGAGUAAGUGUCAGGUUUUGAAGAGUAAGGUCAAUUUCUUGGGGUAUGUCGUAGAAAAAGGCACUAUCAAACAAGGGGAGGAGAAAACUCAAGCAGUUGCUGAUUUUCCGAUUCCGCGCGAUAAGAAAGGAAUACAAAGAUUUUUAGGACUGACGUCAUACUUUCGUAGGUUUGUGGACGGAUAUGUUGUAAUUGCCAAACCGCUGUCUGAUUUGUUGCGUAAAGAGGUAUAGUUCGAAUUGCAGGAAAAACAUUUAACGGCAUUUGAGAAAUUAAAGGGAGCGUUGAUUAGUGGACUAGUUUUGAAGAUUUAUGAUCAUCCGCUGGAAACGGAGAUUCAGGUGAUAAUUUGUGGCAUCCAGUUUUCUACAUGAGUCUUAAAACAAAGCCUUGUGAGGAGAUGUAUCAUUCUUAUGAACUAGAAGUGCUUGCGGUAAAGAGGCGAGUGUACGUCCUAGGGAAAAAUUUCAAGAUAGUUACAGACUGUAACACUUUUGCCAUGACCAUGAAGAAGAAAAAUGGGCAAUGUAUCUCCAAGACUUCGACUAUGAAAUAGAGCACAAAUCCGGUUCUAAAAUGAGACAUGUCGAUGCGUUGAGAAGGGUAUUGUGUCAUGUUCUAACUGAUAGUUUGCUACACCGUUUGAGGGAGACAUAGCAGUUAGACGAAUGGACGAAGGUGGUCAAAAGUGUGGUCGAGACCAAAGGAUAUGAAGAUUUCUAUGUAUCGAAACAAGUUCAAAGAUCCCAAUAAAGAGUUGCUAGUGGUACCUUCGGUCAUGGAAAACGAGAUCAUUAAGAUCAAUCACAAGCAAGGUCACUUUUCUUGUAAAAAGACUCAGGAUUUGAUCGAGAAGUCAUAUUAUAUUCCCAAGCUCAAGGAGAAAGUAGCGUGAGUAGUUAAUAGCUGUGUAGAGUGCAUUCUAGUUAAUGCAAAGGCAGGUCGGCAAGAGGGUUCCUCACACCGAUAGACAAAGGGGAUAAGCCGCUGGUAACCUACCAUGUUGAUCAUGUUGGCCCUAUGGAGUUGACGAAAAAACGAUAUAAUCACAUUUUCGUGAUUGUAGAUGCCUUGUCCAAGUACGCGUGGUUGUAUAAUACUCGAAGCACAGGAGUAGAAGAAGUUAUUAGCUGUUUGGAGCGUCAGGCUGUUUUCUUUAGAAACACAUAUAGGGUCGUUUCAGAUCGCGGAGCUGAGUUCACUUCGCAUCUGUUUAAGGCGUUUUGCGAUAGGGAGAAGACACAACAUUUGUUAAUUGCAACAGGCGUACCCAGGGGAAAUGGACAAGUCGAGCGUAUUCAUAAAAAGUAGUCCCAAUGUCAUCGAAAGUCAGUCAUAAAAGUCCGGGGUGCUGGUAUAAGCAUGUCGGUAAGAUACAACAGAUCAUCAAUAAUACCGAGCCGAGGAGUACCAAGGUUUCGCCAUUUAAAUUACUGACUGGUUUAGAUAUGCGUAUUCCAGGUGAUGUGCAGCUCAGAGA
Molecule: long non-coding RNA, 3200 nt
Filed under: Drosophila guanche
Lineage: Eukaryota; Metazoa; Arthropoda; Insecta; Diptera; Drosophilidae
Source: RNAcentral